UACGUAGGCAGCGAGCGUUGUUCGGAGUUACUGGGCGUAAAGAGCUCGUAGGCGGUGUGUCGCGUCGGCCGUGAAAACCUGCAGCUUAACUGUGGGCUUGCGGUCGAUACGGGCAUCACUGGAGUUCGGCAGGGGAGACUGGAAUUCCUGGUGUAGCGGUGAAAUGCGCAGAUAUCAGGAGGAACACCGGUGGCGAAGGCAAUCCCCCUGGGCCUGCACUGACGCUCAUGCACGAAAGCGUGGGGAGCAAACAGG
Molecule: ribosomal RNA, 255 nt
Filed under: uncultured bacterium
Lineage: Bacteria
Description: partial 16S ribosomal RNA
Rfam family: Bacterial small subunit ribosomal RNA
Source: RNAcentral